Molecule: non-coding RNA, 1501 nt
Organism: Lynx canadensis (Canada lynx)
Lineage: Eukaryota; Metazoa; Chordata; Mammalia; Carnivora; Felidae
Source: the annotation of a RefSeq genome assembly
AGUAGGAUGCUCAACGGACUGAGCCACCCAAGGGCCUGAAAUCCCUAUUUCUGUCUGAGUUGUCAUGUCACUUUCCUUACCCUCCAUUCCAACUUUCCAUCUUUCCUACCUAAAACAGUUUUGAAAAAAAAGACAAAAAGGUGGGGAACAUUGGAUAUCUCUCUUUACUGCUUCCUCUACCCCCUCCAGCCUGAAUCCUCUCCCCCAACACAUUGAUACCCCUGAGAAACCUUACACACGCAGCCAAGGCGGGGCCAUCAUUGCUGGAGUUUCCUGUAAAGAAGCAAAAUGAGAAGCUGAAGCGUGAGUGUGAUUGGUGCUCAGUGAUUCUGGAGGGAUGUCGUGACUGUUGACAACACAACUUCUCUGGACCCAAGACUCUACACUCUUCAGAGUAGGGGUGAAGGCACGUCAGCGACCAGACAAGGAGUCAUGAAGAGACAGCGGGGAGCCCUGCUGGGGCUUCUGUGGGUGCAGGUUUGCUGGGUGAGAGGGAUGGACGUGGAGCAGACACCUGCAGCCCUGAGCCUCCAGGAGGGAGCCAGCUCUACCCUGAGGUGCAAUUUUUCCAGCUCGGUGAACAGCGUGCAGUGGUUCCGACAGAACCCCGGGGGCGGCGGCCUCACCCGGCUGUUUUACAUAGUUUCAGGGAUGAAGCAUCAGGAUGGGAGGUUGAACUGCACGGUGAACACUAAGGACCGGCACAGCAGCCUGCACAUCAGGGCCUCCCAGCAGGAAGACUCAGCCACCUAUCUGUGUGCGGUGCAGGCACAGUGCUCCCUGCUGCUCUGCAGCCUGUCCCCAAACUGCAGCUGGGCUCCCAGCCCAGGCUCCUCCACCAGGAAGCCUUCCUGUCUCAGUUUCAUUUGCACAGCCUUAUGUUUCGUUAUUCAUUUUGUCAGUCUUUUAAUUCUGUCUAUAAUUAUAAACUUAUAAUGCUAACAUGGAGCUCUUAGAGAUGCUAAACACAGUGGCAAGGUUCAAAGCCAUGUUUAAGUAAACAGUGGAACUGUCCAACUCAGGGUCAAAGCUAGAGCUUCAAUGAGCAGAGACUAAAUAGAUUACUAUGGCGUGAAGCCCACACAUGUUACGUGUUGCUGCUACAACUUACCUGUUAAUGUGAACACGUAGCUCAGCUUUUAGGAAGGGUAAAAAAGUGCCUGGUCUUACUUGGUCAUGCUUGCAUUUAUGACUUUUAGUGCCUAGAGGUCCCGAAUAACAAAUAUAAUAGCAAAGCGGCUAAUGUUUAGGGAACAUUAUGUGCAAUGAGCACCACACAAACACCUUUAUUACCAUGUCACCUCCAUAACACCUUAUGAUGCAGGUACUGUGUUGUCUCCACCCCCACAGUUUUACAACGAGGGUAAGAAGCUUAAAAAGUAAAAAGGUAAAUGACUUCGAAAGGCAAGUUGCUAAUUGGCCGACCCACUAUUGGAAGAGAAGCAAUGUGACUUCAUCCCACGUUCUUUUUUUAAAUGUUUAUUUAUUUUGAGAGAGACAG